This 253-nucleotide unclassified non-coding RNA is filed under the name uncultured Pirellulaceae bacterium. RNAcentral's name for it is "contains 16S-23S intergenic spacer region". It matches the Rfam family "Bacterial small subunit ribosomal RNA", at positions 524 to 776 of the family's 1533-position model. The record is from RNAcentral. Lineage: Bacteria; Pseudomonadati; Planctomycetota; Planctomycetia; Pirellulales; Pirellulaceae.
GACGAACCGACCGAACGUUAUUCGGAAUUACUGGGCUUAAAGGGUGCGUAGGCGGCCGUGUAAGUCAGAUGAGAAAUCCCACGGCUCAACCGUGGAACUGCGUUUGAAACUACAAGGCUUGAGGGAGAUAGGGGUGAGCGGAACUGAUGGUGGAGCGGUGAAAUGCGUUGAUAUCAUCAGGAACACCGGUGGCGAAGGCGGCUCACUGGGUCUCUUCUGACGCUGAGGCACGAAAGCGUGGGUAGCGAACAGG